CUUGCAUUAGAACAGCGGCAAACACUCGGUGUAGUGGAUAGUAUAACGAACACGAGCUAAAGUAAAGUAAAGUGAGGUGCGCGGAUAUAUUACUUUAAUUUGAGAUAAUUAAGAGGAAGAAAUCUAAAAAAAAAAGAUACCAAGUUUUGAAAACGCAAGGAUCGAUCGAAAUUCGAUUCAGUUUAUAAACAAAAUCCGUGUUGCUCUUUUGUAUUGCUGCAAGAUGAAAUCUUUCGCCUGUAUUCUAUUAGUGAUAAUGGUACUCACUUUAGUGCCAGAGGAGCUUUGUCAGCAAAUGAAUAAUCCGUUAUUGAACAAUCAGCCUAACGAACGAAGCACGUAUCGGCCUAUGAGACCAGCACGAGUAUGGAGUCCUAUUUUAAGUUGGGGUCCGGAAAAAUACAACCGUGUCCCAAACAACAGAGGCAGCAUACCAAUAACAGAUGCCUGAUGAUGCAGAGUUGACAGGCCCAAAGAUAUAAGUAUUUUGUCAAUGGCAGCUGAAAACUGGAUGCACAGGAAUUCCAAAAUAUCGUCGCCGCAGCACAACCACAUAAUGACAAAAGUAUUUUGUGUACCGACGAAACUUUAAUAAAUUUACCUUAUUAGUUCUACAA
Long non-coding RNA from Odontomachus brunneus, 617 nucleotides. RefSeq lists it as uncharacterized. NCBI's taxonomy places the organism in Eukaryota, Metazoa, Arthropoda, Insecta, Hymenoptera, Formicidae. The record is from RefSeq and is a predicted model, not a curated record. The transcript has 2 exons.